GUCCGGUCUGAGUGCAAUGGUGUUUACAACUAAAUGAUCACAACCCCACUUACAGAUUUCUUUGUUCCUUCUUUACUCCCACUGCUUCACUUGACCAGCCUUAA
RNAcentral lists this Y RNA (104 nucleotides) under Colobus angolensis palliatus. Its description in RNAcentral is "Y RNA (ENSCANG00000016878.1)". It matches the Rfam family "Y RNA". Rfam says of the family: Y RNAs are components of the Ro ribonucleoprotein particle (Ro RNP), in association with Ro60 and La proteins. The record is from Rfam by way of RNAcentral. Lineage: Eukaryota; Metazoa; Chordata; Mammalia; Primates; Cercopithecidae.